AAAUGCAUUGGAAAUCUUAAUAUGUCUACUUCAAAUGUUAUGUUGAGAAAAAUUUCAAAAUCUCAAAGGAAAUACAUGUGAUAAUGCAAGACAUUAUAGGUCCUUUUUGACCAAAUGCAUUAAAAGGCAAAAAAGUCCAACUUCAAGUGCCCAAUGAGAAAAAUUUCAAAAUCUCAAAGGAAAUACAUGUGAUAAUGCAAGACAUUAUAGGUCCUUUUUGACCAAAUGCAUUAAAAGGCAAAAAAGUCCAACUUCAAGUGCCCAUAACUUC
Molecule: long non-coding RNA, 271 nt
Filed under: Lathyrus oleraceus (garden pea)
Lineage: Eukaryota; Viridiplantae; Streptophyta; Magnoliopsida; Fabales; Fabaceae
Description: Pisum sativum (pea) long non-coding RNA (PSAT_LNC005333)
Source: RNAcentral